GCAAGUCGAACGGGAAUCUUCGGAUUCUAGUGGCGGACGGGUGAGUAACGCGUAAGAAUCUAACUUCAGGACGGGGACAACAGUUGGAAACGACUGCUAAUACCCGAUGUGCCGAAAGGUGAAACCUAAUUGGCCUGAAGAAGAGCUUGCGUCUGAUUAGCUAGUUGGUGGGGUAAAGGCCUACCAAGGCGACGAUCAGUAGCUGGUCUGAGAGGAUGAGCAGCCACACUGGGACUGAGACACGGCCCAGACUCCUACGGGAGGCAGCAGUGGGGAAUUUUCCGCAAUGGGCGAAAGCCUGACGGAGCAACGCCGCGUGAGGGAGGAAGGUCUUUGGAUUGUAAACCUCUUUUCUCAAGGAAGAAGUUCUGACGGUACUUGAGGAAUCAGCCUCGGCUAACUCCGUGCCAGCAGCCGCGGUAAUACGGGGGAGGCAAGCGUUAUCCGGAAUUAUUGGGCGUAAAGCGUCCGCAGGUGGUCAGCCAAGUCUGCCGUCAAAUCAGGUUGCUUAACGACCUAAAGGCGGUGGAAACUGGCAGACUAGAGAGCAGUAGGGGUAGCAGGAAUUCCCAGUGUAGCGGUGAAAUGCGUAGAGAUUGGGAAGAACAUCGGUGGCGAAAGCGUGCUACUGGGCUGUAUCUGACACUCAGGGGACGAAAGCUAGGGGAGCGAAAGGGAUUAGAUACCCCUGUAGUCCUAGCCGUAAACGAUGGAUACUAGGCGUGGCUUGUAUCGACCCGAGCCGUGCCGAAGCUAACGCGUUAAGUAUC
This 770-nucleotide ribosomal RNA is filed under the name uncultured cyanobacterium. RNAcentral describes it as "bacterial SSU rRNA". It matches the Rfam family "Bacterial small subunit ribosomal RNA", at positions 57 to 868 of the family's 1533-position model. The record is from RNAcentral. Lineage: Bacteria; Bacillati; Cyanobacteriota.